Long non-coding RNA from Rhagoletis zephyria (snowberry fruit fly), 877 nucleotides. RefSeq lists it as uncharacterized. The record is from RefSeq and is a predicted model, not a curated record. NCBI's taxonomy places the organism in Eukaryota, Metazoa, Arthropoda, Insecta, Diptera, Tephritidae.
AUUUACAAUACGCUCACAAAAUAUUGACUAGCUAGCUUUUAGCAUGGCGGCAGUAUUUCGUUGACGUACAUUAGCGUGAAAUCGCGGCACGCUUUGUUUGUUGCACAUUCCGUUGCAUUGUCAACGCUACAAAUGCCGUUGUGUUGGACGCGCGCGCAAAGUGCACAGAAAAGUAUCUAAAAACGUGCGAUAUUUGAACGCGGCGCAGAUAAAGCUUUGUGUAGGACACUUAACUUUUUUUCCGUAUAUUUGUUUUGUUUAGUUUGAGAAGAGUACUACGUACCGCCCAAUUGUUUUCGGUUCAUUGUGUCAAAUAGCGUUGAGAAAGAAAAGAAAAAAAAUCGUAAAAAAAAAUUACAAAAACAAGCCAACGGAACAAACGCAGUGACGCGUCACAACAAAGGCUGCCGCCAACAAACAACAAGUAGGUAUAGUUAAAGGCAUACAGCGCUGCGCUUACAUUGAAACAGUAGCUGAAGAAUUAUUGUUAUUGCCACAUCACAUCCGCCGCCGCCGCCGCCGCCGCCGACCAUUGUUAUUGACAACGCGCAACUAGCGCGCUACGUUGGGUUUGGCACAAAAGCAAUCGCCGGCAUAGCUACGGCCACAGCCACCAUCGCAUACAACAUUGAGUCGCCAUUGAAAAUUUGUUGCUUUCAUCGCUGACUGUUAACCAACCGCUCGCCAUUAGUCGCCAUUGUUGCUGGUCGGCCCUAGUUUAAGUAGCAUAUUUCAUCAUCCGUUGCCAACGCCGCCGCCGCCGCCGUCGCCAUAGCAACUAUGUUGGUACCGCCGGAUAUGCUGGCUGCGCAGACGCGCAUGAUUUAUCAGAUGAAUCGCUAUUGCGCGGAGCGUGUUCAGGCGCGUAUGUUCAAAA